Molecule: ribosomal RNA, 876 nt
Filed under: uncultured Gammaproteobacteria bacterium
Lineage: Bacteria; Pseudomonadati; Pseudomonadota; Gammaproteobacteria
Description: bacterial SSU rRNA
Rfam family: Bacterial small subunit ribosomal RNA
Source: RNAcentral
CAUGCAAGUCGAACGGCAGCACMGGAGARCUUGCUCUCUGGGKGGCGAGUGGCGGACGGGUGUGGAAUACAUCGGAAUCUACCUUUUCGUGGGGGAUAACGUAGGGAAACUUACGCUAAUACCGCAUACGACCUUCGGGUGAAAGCAGGGGACCUUCGGGCCUUGCGCGGAUAGAUGAGCCGAUGUCGGAUUAGCUAGUUGGCGGGGUAAAGGCCCACCAAGGCGACGAUCCGUAGCUGGUCUGAGAGGAUGAUCAGCCACACUGGAAMUGAGACACGGUCCAGACUCCUACGGGAGGCAGCAGUGGGGAAUAUUGGACAAUGGGCSCAAGCCUGAUCCAGCCAURCCGCGUGGGUGAAGAAGGCCUUCGGGUUGUAAAGCCCUUUUGUUGGGAAAGAAAAGCAGUCGGUUAAUACCCGGUUGUUCUGACGGUACCCAAAGAAUAAGCWCCGGCUAACUUCGUGCCAGCAGCCGCGGUAAUACGAAGGGUGCAAGCGUUACUCGGAAUUACCGGGCGUAAAGCGUGCGUAGGUGGUUGUUUAAGUCUGUUGUGAAAGCCCUGGGCUCAACCUGGGAAUUGCAGUGGAUACUGGGCGACUAGAGUGUGGUAGAGGGUAGUGGAAUUCCUGGUGUAGCAGUGAAAUGCGUAGAGAUCAGGAGGAACAUCCAUGGCGAAGGCAGCUACCUGGACCAACACUGACACUGAGGCACGAAAGCGUGGGGAGCAAACAGGAUUAGAUACCCUGGUAGUCCACGCCCUAAACGAUGCGAACUGGAUGUUGGGUGCAAUUUGGCACGCAGUAUCGAAGCUAACGCGUUAAGUUCKCCGCCUGGGGAGUACGGUCGCAAGACUGAAACUCAAAUGAAUUGACGGGG